UUAGCUGUGACGAGAUGCUAACAUGUAAGAAGACCUCUCUUGUAUUGGAUCUUCAAUGAAAUUCAUUUGUUACGCUUGGCUUCUGAGCUUU
Molecule: non-coding RNA, 91 nt
Organism: Citrus sinensis (sweet orange)
Lineage: Eukaryota; Viridiplantae; Streptophyta; Magnoliopsida; Sapindales; Rutaceae
Source: Rfam